UUAAUUGAAGCCAAAACUGAGGCUUAUCACUGUUAAUGAUAUCAUUGAAUCUAAUUCCAAUUAAA
Molecule: transfer RNA, 65 nt
Filed under: Desmopachria sp. ITV9392
Lineage: Eukaryota; Metazoa; Arthropoda; Insecta; Coleoptera; Dytiscidae
Also listed under: 1 other name
Description: tRNA-Asn
Source: RNAcentral